RNAcentral lists this ribosomal RNA (373 nucleotides) under uncultured bacterium. RNAcentral's name for it is "bacterial SSU rRNA". It matches the Rfam family "Bacterial small subunit ribosomal RNA", at positions 523 to 898 of the family's 1533-position model. The record is from RNAcentral.
AUACGGAGGGUGCAAGCGUUAUCCGGAAUCACUGGGCGUAAAGGGCGCGUAGGUGGUCUAUUAAGUCUGGCGUUAAAGCCUGGGGCUCAACACCAGAUCAGCGUUGGAUACUGGCAGGCUAGACGGUUGGAGAGGCGAGUGGAAUUACCAGUGUAGCGGUGGAAUGCGUAGAUACUGGUAGGAACACCCAUUGCGAAGGCAGCUCGCUGGACAACACGUGACACUGAGGCGCGAAAGUGUGGGGAGCAAACCGGAUUAGAUACCCGGGUAGUCCACACCCUAAACGAUGCAUACUUGGUAUUGGCCCGUUGGGGUCAGUGCCGGAGCUAACGUGUUAAGUAUGCCGCCUGGGAAGUACGGCCGCAAGGUUGAA